GACUGACCAUGUACCACCAGCUCUUCAAGCUUCUCCUUCCAACAGUCUCUGCUCACAGUCCCAGUGUUUCCAGUGUUCAUCCAUUCAGAUCUUCUCUCCGAGGCAAACUGUAAACGAAAGAGAAGGGUGCUGUAACUUGAGAUAAUAUCCAGAGUGCUUGAAUUGAAACUUCUGUGAAGAAUACACACUCAUUUGUCCCCGAACAAGAAAAAAUGUGAACAUACACAUUGUGUCUGUACCUCUGAUGUGAUAUGGGAAUUUUGGUGAUGGAGUAUCCAAGUACUGCAUGUGGUUUUUGAACUUCUGUGAGCAAGCAGAGGUGGAUAAUUCAUCCUGGCAGUUUUGAAGUGCAAUAAA
This is a long non-coding RNA of Pipra filicauda (Wire-tailed manakin), 357 nucleotides long. RefSeq lists it as uncharacterized. The record is from RefSeq and is a predicted model, not a curated record. NCBI's taxonomy places the organism in Eukaryota, Metazoa, Chordata, Aves, Passeriformes, Pipridae. The transcript is spliced from 4 exons.